This 231-nucleotide non-coding RNA is filed under the name Eutrema heterophyllum. Lineage: Eukaryota; Viridiplantae; Streptophyta; Magnoliopsida; Brassicales; Brassicaceae. The record is from RNAcentral.
UUAUUAACUAAACCCUGAACCUUCCCUCUUAACGAUGGGAAUCUAAACGAUUGGGGGUGUUUGGCCGGCGUUUCCCCCGAAAAAUAAUUAAAAAACGUCGAUGGUUACAUAAGAGGUUCGUCUCCAAGUUGGACCAUUGGGUUGGGUUUGGUUCGUUAGGUGGUUCUGCUGAAACUAGAUUAGUGUCUGCGGUUAACCGUUUCCUCGCCUUCCCUCCCACCUCCAAAUUUU